RNAcentral lists this non-coding RNA (28 nucleotides) under Bombyx mori (domestic silkworm). The record is from RNAcentral. Lineage: Eukaryota; Metazoa; Arthropoda; Insecta; Lepidoptera; Bombycidae.
UCUCGAGAAGAACCUGGGCGAUCAAUAC